UAAAGAUACUUAUAGAUUAUUCUAAUUUCUAUGUAUACUAAACUAUUCUAAUUACAUUAUUUUAUCUCGAGCCCNCAGUGGGAGGCUCACACGACGGGCUAUUAGCUCAAUGGUAGAGCGCGCCCCUGAUAAUUGCGUUGUUGUGCCUGGGCUGUGAGGCCCAUACAUCAUAAAUUUCUUUUCUCGGAGAAGAAGCAAUGACAGUAUUUGGAGAAUAAGUAUUGACUAACUCUGUGCUAAUAGCUGCGGUAAGACAGAGGAUGCAAGCGUUAUCCGAAAUGAUAGGGCAUAAAACUUCUGUAGGUGGCUUUUUAAGUCUGCCGUAAAAUCCCAGGGCUCAACCCUGGACAAGUGGUGGAAACUACCAAGCUGGAGUAUGGUAGAGGCAAAGAGAAUUUUAGGUGGAACAGUGAAAUGUGUAGAGAUCAAAAAGAACACCAACGGCGAAAGCACUUUGUUGGGCCAACAUUGACAUUGAGAGAUGAAAGCCAGGGAAGCGAAUGGGAUUAGAUACCCCAGUGUCCUAGCCAUAAAUUAUGGAUACUAGGUGUUGUGCGUAUCGACCCGUGCAGUGCUGUAGCUAAUGCGUUAAAUAUCUCGCCU
This 603-nucleotide ribosomal RNA is filed under the name Olea europaea subsp. europaea. The stretch from base 88 to 603 matches the Rfam family "Bacterial small subunit ribosomal RNA", at positions 1 to 874 of the family's 1533-position model. The record is from RNAcentral. Lineage: Eukaryota; Viridiplantae; Streptophyta; Magnoliopsida; Lamiales; Oleaceae.